RNAcentral lists this ribosomal RNA (262 nucleotides) under uncultured archaeon. Its description in RNAcentral is "partial 16S ribosomal RNA". It matches the Rfam family "Archaeal small subunit ribosomal RNA", at positions 718 to 982 of the family's 1478-position model. The record is from RNAcentral.
GUCUACAUUUAGAUACCCCUGUAGUCCCAGCCGUAAACUAUGCUCGCUAGGUGUCAGGCAUGGCGCGACCGUGUCUGGUGCCCGCAGGGAAGCCGUGAAGCGAGCCACCUGGGAAGUACGGCCGCAAGGCUGAAACUUAAAGGAAUUGGCGGGAGCACCACAACGGGUGGACGCCUGCGGUUUAAUUGGACUCAACGCCGGGAAGCUCACCGGAUAAGACAGCGGAAUGAUUGCCGGGCUGAAGACUCUGCAUGACUAGCUG